Molecule: ribosomal RNA, 438 nt
Filed under: uncultured bacterium
Lineage: Bacteria
Description: bacterial SSU rRNA
Rfam family: Bacterial small subunit ribosomal RNA
Source: RNAcentral
UCGAACGAGGUAGCAAUACCUAGUGGCGAACGGGUGAGGAAUGCUGGGNAAUCUGCCUUGUAGUGGGGGAUAACGUUUCGAAAGGAACGCUAACACCGCAUACGUCCUACGGGAGAAAGGGGGGGAUCUUCGGACCUCUCGCUAUAAGAUGAGCCCAAGUCGGAUUAGCUAGUUGGUGGGGUAAAGGCCUACCAAGGCGACGAUCCGUAGCUGGUCUGAGAGGAUGAUCAGCCACACUGGAACUGAGACACGGUCCAGACUCCUACGGGAGGCAGCAGUGGGGAAUAUUGGACAAUGGGCGCAAGCCUGAUCCAGCCAUGCCGCGUGUGUGAAGAAGGCCUUCGGGUUGUAAAGCACUUUAAGCGGGGAGGAAGGGCUCUGGUUUAAUAAACUGGAGCAUUGACGUUACCCGCAGAAUAAGCACCGGCUAACUCUGUG